This 65-nucleotide transfer RNA is filed under the name Sphaerodactylus townsendi. Its description in RNAcentral is "tRNA-Ala". Lineage: Eukaryota; Metazoa; Chordata; Lepidosauria; Squamata; Sphaerodactylidae. The record is from RNAcentral.
GAGCUCAGUGGGAAAGCCCUGGCUUUGCAUGCAAAUAGUCCCAGGUUCAAUCCCUGGCAUCUUCA